This 554-nucleotide ribosomal RNA is filed under the name Robustosergia regalis. RNAcentral's name for it is "partial 16S ribosomal RNA". It matches the Rfam family "Bacterial large subunit ribosomal RNA", at positions 1831 to 2625 of the family's 2925-position model. Lineage: Eukaryota; Metazoa; Arthropoda; Malacostraca; Decapoda; Sergestidae. The record is from RNAcentral.
GUCUGUGCGAAGGUAUGUAGAGUCUGGCCUGCCCACUGACUUAGUGUGUUUAAAGGGCCGCGGUAUUUUGACCGUGCGAAGGUAGCAUAAUCAUUAGUCUUUUAAUUGAAGGCUUGUAUGAAUGGUCGGACAAAAAGUAAGCUGUCUUCAACUGUAAAAAUUGAAUUUGACUUUUAAGUGAAAAGGCUUAAAUAAUACAAAGUGACGAUAAGACCCUAUAAAGCUUUACAGUGUAACUUUUUAUUACAAAUUAUAAGAGCGUAUAACUUAAUUUAAAGUAAAACUGUUUCGUUGGGGCGACGAAAAUAUAAUAAAAUAACUGUUUUUGUUUAAAUAAAACAAAUAUUUUUGGUUUUAAUAAAUGAUCCUUUAUUAAAGAUUAAAAGAUUAAGUUACUUUAGGGAUAACAGCGUAAUCUUCUUUGAGAGUUCAUAUCGACAAGAAGGGUUGCGACCUCGAUGUUGAAUUAAGGUUCCUUUGUGGUGUAGCAGCUGCAGUUGGAGGUCUGUUCGACCUUUAAAUCCUUACAUGAUUUGAGUUCAGACCGGCGUAAG